This 397-nucleotide ribosomal RNA is filed under the name uncultured bacterium. Its description in RNAcentral is "partial 16S ribosomal RNA". It matches the Rfam family "Bacterial small subunit ribosomal RNA", at positions 523 to 918 of the family's 1533-position model. The record is from RNAcentral.
AUACGUAGGGGGCGAGCGAUAUCCGGAAUUAUUGGGCGUAAAGGGCGCGUAGGCGGCCCGGUAAGUCUGGAGUGAAAGUCCUGUUUUUAAGAUGGGAAUUGCUUUGGAUACUGUCGGGCUUGAGGGCUGGAGAGGUAAGUGGAAUUCCCAGUGUAGCGGUGAAAUGCGUAGAGAUUGGGAGGAACACCAGUGGCGAAGGCGACUUACUGGACUGUAACUGACGCUGAGGCGCGAAAGUGUGGGGAGCAAACAGGAUUAGAUACCCUGGUAGUCCACACUGUAAACGAUGAAUGCUAGGUGUAGGGGGUAUCGACCCCUUCUGUGCCGCAGUCAACACAAUAAGCAUUCCGCCUGGGGAGUACGGCCGCAAGGUUGAAACUCAAAUGAAUUGACGGGG